AAAAACCUCACGACUGACGUCACAAAACUACGAAGACCUAAAUGUAAUUUUAGGGAUACGCGGAUACAACGYGGCCUCAUUAAUAUUCAAAUUCAAAGUUUCUUCAGGAAGUGGAUACGCGGAUACGCGGAUACAACGCGGCCUCAUUAAUAUUCAAAUUCAAAGUUUCUUCAGGAAGUGGAUACGCGGAUACGCGGAUACGCGGCCUCAUUAAUAUUCAAAUUCAAAGUUUCUUCAGGAAGUGGAUACGCGGAUACGCGGAUACAACGCGGCCUUAUUAAUAUUCAAAUUCAAAGUUUCUUCAGGAAGUGGAUACGCGGAUACGCGGAUACGCGGAUACGCGACCUCAUUGAUAUUCAAAUUCAAAGUUUCUUCAGGAAGUGGAUACGCGGAUACGCGGAUACGCGAACUCAUUAAUAUUCAUGAGCUAUUCAUGCGCCUAUAUUUUUCUUUCCCGAUGUAAUGAUGGAAAAUCAAUAAUGGUUAAAUUACAACAUUAGCCCCAAUCCACUAAAACAGAAAAUGGUUUUUGCCUGUGCUGUUUUCGAAAAGAUUUUUCUCUACUGCUGUGCAAUCACAGGUAGCUCAAACUUAGCACUUUUCGGCUUUUCUCCGAGGGUCUUGUAGAGGAAAACCAAAAAUUCAAUAAAAGUUGGAAMCGAUGAAGAAAUGCUCCUCGAUGCAAGACACAUUUUUAUUAUCGCACAAUGCAACGAUGAUGAAGUCCUACAAAUACAAAUCGUGACACAAGGAUAAUGUAAACACGWCCUUACAAUUAAAACGGAACCCAAUACAAAUAUAUAAUAGUAAUACACGAAGUAGAUACAAACUGACUUACAAUAUAGAAGGCUAGUCUUGGGCAGAACUAAACAAAAUGGCCGUCUCACUUGAGCCGGUCARCGGUCUUAUUAGUUACUAGGCCCUAGUGGCCCAAGUCAGUGUCUCAAUCAGUCAACAUUAAGAAAAAAAGGCGGUUUAUUUCACUGUAGAGAGCUGAAACUUCGCAUAGACCGACAAGUGCUGAGUUUGGSCUACCUGUGGUGCAAUCAAACAUGUCUGCAAAGCCCGAUUAGGAUCCAUCGAUCCAGAGAUAAAGAAUACUCCUUUCCAUCGCGAAGGGCCUGUUGUAGGAUUUGAAAACGAGAGGACCAUCAAAGCUACUCUGGUAUUAUGCCUACUUAUCUCUUCAACGAGAUCUUGAAAACGUUGCAGCUGAAGAAAGAAAAGGUUUUAUACAAUCAAAAUGAACAAUUGAUGAACCGGCUAUUUGACUUUUCGAAAAAAAAGUGGUCAAAUUCCCCACCAUAUGGUCAAAAUUGACAGUCAAGUGCCCACACUAGUAAAAGCAAAUGAGUGGUCAAAUGCCCGCCCCAUAAGUCAGUUUUUUUACGCUAGUUUUCGAGUGUUUUUGUUGCUUUUUAUAUCGUGAUUUCUCAUCGUGAAAGUACAAAAGAUCGAGAAUGUUCCCAAACAUGAUUGUUAAAAGGUGCCUAUAGGCUCACGUAUGGCCGCUCAUGUUGUAAAUAUUACAUACAUCAUGGAUUAAAUGUACGAAUGCACUGUAGAGUAAGAAAAGCGAGCGUUAAACAACAUACCUUAAAGAUAUUUACGCUUCAUAGAGAGCUAUUCAUCUUUAAUUUUAAGUGGAUGCAUAAAUUAGCUUAAUUUAAUACUGAUCAGAAUAUUAAACUGCACGGCAAAACACAUAUCAUUGGCUAGAGAUCCAUACUUUUAUUAUUGAACAUAUUUCAUAAAAUUACAUUCAACAUUUCAAUAAUAAAUAUCAAAAUUGAUUGGCUAUUCCAGUAUUUUAAGCCUUAAAUGUCACUAAAUUUGUGCACACUCAUGCCAUGUACUCAUAUCAAGCCWUAACAAURACCAUWGGAAUGUAUGUUAUAACUUUUGUAACAUAGUUGUAAAAACUUUUAAUGGUAUGAUAAGUCAUUCCAAUAUGUUUGCUUCAAAAUAGAUAGUUACUUAUUGCCUUGAUGACACUGGUCUGAAUCCUUGGACUAUAUAUUCCAAUAAAUUACAUGCAACAUUUCAAUAAUAAAUAUCAAAUUGAUUGACUAUUCCAGUACUUGCCAGUACACGUCAUGAACUCAUAUCAAGCUAUAAAAAUAAUCAUUGGAAUUUAUGUUACAUCUUUUGUAUAUUUAUAACAUUAUGUUUGCUUCAAAAUAAAAAUGUGUCUUGCAUCGAGGAGCAUUUCAUUUUUACUUUGAUGACACUGGUCUGUAUCCUAGGACUAAAAUGUCAAUAAUUAUGCUUAAAUUAUAAAUAGAAAUAUGUGCUUGGAAAGAUAAAUAUCCAAACUGAUCAUUUGCAACCAACAGCAUUAAUUUACAAAGUCCUUUGCAUUUUGAUGUAAUAUUUGAUGAUUAUAUGUUCAAGUCUAUUGUUCAGCUUUGCAUAGGGAUAAAAUCAAAUAAAAUUACAUUUGUGACUUUGUACUCUAUCCAAAGCCAUGCACCCUGACAAAUUUCCCAUAAGUUUCAUUCAAUGAUGUCUAGUUUUAAAGAAAUAUAAUUUGCACAAAAUUGUAAUUAAAUAAUAUUAAUCCUUAUAGGAAAACGUUUUUGAAUAAUAAAUUUCUAAAAUGUUAUUGUCUUAAGCUGCAGGAAAACGCUGUAAAUAAACUGUAAAAUUUGUCUGGUUA
This is a long non-coding RNA of Exaiptasia diaphana, 2659 nucleotides long. RefSeq lists it as uncharacterized. Lineage: Eukaryota; Metazoa; Cnidaria; Anthozoa; Actiniaria; Aiptasiidae. The transcript is spliced from 2 exons. The record is from RefSeq and is a predicted model, not a curated record.